This is a long non-coding RNA of Xenia sp. Carnegie-2017, 274 nucleotides long. RefSeq lists it as uncharacterized. The transcript has 3 exons. Lineage: Eukaryota; Metazoa; Cnidaria; Anthozoa; Malacalcyonacea; Xeniidae. The record is from RefSeq and is a predicted model, not a curated record.
GGAGAUUGUGCCAAAGUCACUAGACCCAAGAAGAAGCAUGGCACUUUGAUCCCUGGAAUAUUUUGUAUUCUUUGUCCCCACGGUAUAUGUUAUGGAUUCGAAAUAAUGAGGGAUCACGAAUCACCAAAUAUCCCAUUUACCAUUUUACGAACACGUUUUCCUGAUGCGCCAGAGUUGGUCAUUUACGAUAAUGCCUGCAGAUUGCACGAGUAUUGUUUGAACCGAGAUCCAGCAUUUUUUAAGAAAACAAAAUUUGUUGUUGAUAAGUUUCAUU